This 253-nucleotide ribosomal RNA is filed under the name uncultured bacterium. RNAcentral describes it as "partial 16S ribosomal RNA". It matches the Rfam family "Bacterial small subunit ribosomal RNA", at positions 524 to 776 of the family's 1533-position model. The record is from RNAcentral.
UACGUAGGGUGCGAGCGUUGUCCGGAAUUAUUGGGCGUAAAGAGCUCGUAGGCGGCCUGUCACGUCGGAUGUGAAAACCCGGGGCUCAACCCCGGGCCUGCAUUCGAUACGGGCAGGCUGGAGUUCGGCAGGGGAGACUGGAAUUCCUGGUGUAGCGGUGAAAUGCGCAGAUAUCAGGAGGAACACCGGUGGCGAAGGCGGGUCUCUGGGCCGAUACUGACGCUGAGGCACGAAGGCCAGGGGAGCAAACGGG